This 791-nucleotide long non-coding RNA is filed under the name Monodelphis domestica (gray short-tailed opossum). Its description in RNAcentral is "lncRNA (ENSMODG00000051410.1)". The record is from RNAcentral. Lineage: Eukaryota; Metazoa; Chordata; Mammalia; Didelphimorphia; Didelphidae.
UUAUAUAAUCAGACCUGCACUUUAGGAAAAUCGUUUUGUUUUUCUUUCAGAUGAGUGGAGGAUGGACUAACAUGGGUAGAGAUGAGAAAGGAGGUCAACCAGGUGUCUAUUACAACAGUUGGGACAGGAAGUGAUGGGGACUUGUACCAGGAUAACAGUUACUUGAAGGGAAAGAAAAAGACAUAUGCAAGAAUGAUCGAAAAGGUCCCCUGCCACAUGGAGGCUGAAGGAAAGAACACCCCAGUUUUUACCAGUUGGUUUGUGAAUCUGAAGACACAGAGGCAGCAACUAGCAGCCUGGCACCUGGGGCUGGGGCUGGAUGAGAGAUUGGGUCUGGCCAGGGCCAGAUUCUCUUUCUCUCCUGAUUCUCCCAUCUUCUUGAAAAGCUGUCUCCACUGAUUGUGUGGUUCAUCCCAAGUAUCUCCAUUUUAAGGAGGGUGUCCAGGUCACCUCUGACUUCAUUACUCUCCAGGAUCUACUCCUGACUCUGCAAAAGUAUUAUUCUUCUUUUAUGUGGUGGAAAUGAAGAGUGAUUGAAUAAGUGUCAGGGACUCUUUCCUCAUCUCUUUAAUACAACUGAAUAUUGUCAGCUCUCUCAUAUUUGUCAGGGAGGAGUACCCAUAGACUUCAAAGGAUGAAGGACAGAAAACACAAAAGAGAUGAAAAGUCCACAAGUCCAGUGCAAUUUGGAUAAAUAUGGUCUGAAACAUGCUAGUGGAAAGGAAAAAUGUUUGAGAAAUUAAAGGAAAAAGGAAAAUAAAGAAAAUAAAGAAAAUAAAGAAAUAAAGAGA